UUGACAGCCCUGAAGACUGAAUUUCUCUAUUUAUGCUCAGAACAGAAUCAUCAGUGGCUGUAAAAAUUUACCCCCCUCUACAUCCCACGAAUGUGCCCUAACCCUGACAAACAGUGACCAAGGGAGGGAGGUUUUCAUAAGCUAUUUAUUCCUUAGUUUAU
This 161-nucleotide small RNA is filed under the name Gopherus agassizii (Agassiz's desert tortoise). RNAcentral describes it as "TUC338 (ENSGAGG00000012323.1)". The record is from RNAcentral. Lineage: Eukaryota; Metazoa; Chordata; Testudines; Testudinidae.